Molecule: long non-coding RNA, 311 nt
Filed under: Homo sapiens (human)
Lineage: Eukaryota; Metazoa; Chordata; Mammalia; Primates; Hominidae
Description: HSALNT0124536
Source: RNAcentral
CUCGUCCCAGCCUGGAAGCCCCAAGCCUUCGUCCUCCAUGCCUGCCCUGGCUUCGUGGGGAAGGGGUGGGGAGCAUACCAGCCCCCCCCCCGCCCCACCCCGUCUGAACUCAGUCAGCCGACUGAACUCUGCUCUAUACCCUGGGGAAAGGGAAGAAUAGGACCAGGACGGCCGGCAGGAAAACAGGAAACUCCAGUCCCAGAGCAGCGGGCAGAAGACCGUCCCCAGGAUGUGGGCACUUCUCGCCAGAGGGUCCUGAGCCUGGGGCGCACUCUUCUGGUUUGGGCAGCGCAGGUCAUAUCCAGGCUUAG